AGAGGCUUAGUAUGAAGGAGAACACUUUCAGGGGACCAAGUCAGAGAUAAGUCUGCAACCACAGCAAUGGCCCUUUAGAAAGCAUUUAAGAGGCCUGGUGCUUUUUGAGCUGCUUUGAUGACGUGGCAAUGGCUGGAGGGGAAAAGCAGCGGCACAGCUGCCUGCCAUUGGCCUGGUCUUUUUCACUGUGCUCAGUGUUGUCAUCACGAAGCCUCUCAUGCAGCGCGAUGUCAGGAUGGGCCCAUGCGCGGGUGGAAGGCAUGUGGGGGCCAUGUUGCCAGCUGCGGAUGGACAGGCUUCUGAUAUCAGGCUGUGACAGCACUGUCAUCUCCCAAGAAUCCAGCAUCCGUCUGCAUGGAUUGCAUGCCAUCCUUGAAUCCACUCACUUGCCCAGCCCCUGAACCAACUGAUGAAUGUGGUGAAGUCUUCCCUUCGUCACCCCAGGUGCAGCCACAGCCUCUGCAGCCACCCUGGGGGAGAGACAGCUCCAGAUUCCCGCAAGGAGCAAAGAGAUUUUUGACUUUGUCUUCUUUUAUUGACAUUGAGGAGAAGCUUCUGACUCAGGCGAGCCUCACAAUAAGCUGUUUUUCAACUUCAGUAGACCCGCAGGACCUGCUAAGGUGAGGUGUUCUGGAAGGGUCUCUGCUCCUAGCAGUCACUGGCAGCUUGCCCAAAUUGGAGAAGUUUAACAUCUCUUUUCUCUGAGAAGUAAAAUGUGUUUCUUUGGUGGAUGUGAAACCAACAAACCACUGUGGUGCCUCUCUACAUCUGAAGGAUGAGCCAGCCAAGCCAGGGGAACUGACGACCCCACACACGUCUGCACUGCUGUGGCCGUGUUGAACACGGACUCCUUCUUCAGGGCAGCCUUGGGCCAUCGGAGGGCUGCUGUAUGCAGUGACGGCCACCAAGUGUCCUUGGCCAGGGGAGUGAUUUACAGGGACUGAGAUCCUGACUUGUGACCCAGACACGAAUGCAUCCUUGUUCCAUUUUGUUAUUGCUCAACCGUCAUCUGGCCAUCCCCAAAGCCCACCUCUGUGAGAAAGGCCAGUGCUUGUCCUCGUGACACCCCUGAGACCUCGAUGGAGCAAGUCCCAGGGCCCAUCAUACAUUUUUAAAGAAAAUCUUCUUUUGGUGAGAAGAUCAAAGGGCCAGGCAGAAAUGGAAAAGCACUUUCUGGCAUCAGACUUCCUCUGACUUCUCCGGUUGCCACACCACUGAAAGACUGCCCCACAGUGCGAGGGACGUCCACAUCUGCCUGGCUCUCCGAGGGAUGAACAGCCUUCAGUUCAGCUUCCUGUCACACCCCAAAAUCCACCAGGGCUCUGCAGUCAUAGAGCCCUGGAACCCAGAGGUGGAAACUUAAAGGAAUGAGUGCUCUCUCGCUCCAAAACCACAGAUAUCUGGUCCAUAGAGAACCCACCACACUUGUAUACAUUUUCAUACGUCUGCGCACAUACACAAAUGCACAAACACAUGUUCAGCUGUUGAUAAUCAUCUGAUCUUUUGCUCUUUCGAUGUAAAUAUGGCCAGAUAUCUCUGGCUUUAAUUCUCAUUAAAAUUUUGAAAGUUAUACUUUC
This 1577-nucleotide long non-coding RNA is filed under the name Homo sapiens (human). Its description in RNAcentral is "HSALNT0309640". The record is from RNAcentral. Lineage: Eukaryota; Metazoa; Chordata; Mammalia; Primates; Hominidae.